UGGGGAAUAUUGGACAAUGGAGGAAACUCUGAUCCAGCAAUUCUGUGUGUGUGAAGAAGGUUUUAGGACUGUAAAACACUUUUAGUAGGGAAGAAAAAAAUGACGGUACCUACAGAAGAAGCAAUGGCUAAAUACGUGCCAGCAGCCGCGGUAAUACGUAUGUUGCGAGCGUUAUCCGGAAUUAUUGGGCUUAAAGGGCAUCUAGGCGGUAAGACAAGUUGAAGGUGAAAACCUGUGGCUCAACCAUAGGCUUGCCUACAAAACUGUUGAACUAGAGUACUGGAAAGGUGGGUGGAACUACACGAGUAGAGGUGAAAUUCGUAGAUAUGUGUAGGAAUGCCGAUGAUGAAGAUAACUCACUGGACAGAAACUGACGCUGAAGUGCGAAAGCUAGGGGAGCAAACAGG
This 407-nucleotide ribosomal RNA is filed under the name Verrucomicrobiota bacterium. Its description in RNAcentral is "Verrucomicrobia bacterium partial 16S ribosomal RNA". It matches the Rfam family "Bacterial small subunit ribosomal RNA", at positions 355 to 776 of the family's 1533-position model. Lineage: Bacteria; Pseudomonadati; Verrucomicrobiota. The record is from RNAcentral.